RNAcentral lists this transfer RNA (64 nucleotides) under Lachnospiraceae bacterium. RNAcentral describes it as "tRNA-Lys". It matches the Rfam family "tRNA", at positions 8 to 63 of the family's 71-position model. From Rfam's summary of the family: Transfer RNA (tRNA) molecules are approximately 80 nucleotides in length. Their secondary structure includes four short double-helical elements and three loops (D, anti-codon, and T loops). Lineage: Bacteria; Bacillati; Bacillota; Clostridia; Lachnospirales; Lachnospiraceae. The record is from RNAcentral.
UAGCUCAGUCGGUAGAGCACCUGACUUUUAAUCAGGUUGUCGGGGGUUCGAUUCCCCCGUGUCA